Molecule: microRNA precursor, 138 nt
Filed under: Canis lupus familiaris (dog)
Lineage: Eukaryota; Metazoa; Chordata; Mammalia; Carnivora; Canidae
Description: miRNA (ENSCAFG00845010089.1)
Source: RNAcentral
CUGCACAGCUCGGGGGGCACCCGGUGGCAGGAGCGUCCUAGCUGUCCUGUGCCCUCUCGGCCUCCACCUGUCCCGAGGGGAGCGCAGGAUCCUGGGCUGUGUCCCCCGCGCCCUGGGAUCCGGGGCCUGCGCUGCUGG